Molecule: ribosomal RNA, 243 nt
Filed under: Haemophilus influenzae
Lineage: Bacteria; Pseudomonadati; Pseudomonadota; Gammaproteobacteria; Pasteurellales; Pasteurellaceae
Description: partial 16S ribosomal RNA
Rfam family: Bacterial small subunit ribosomal RNA
Source: RNAcentral
GCUUGUGCCUUCGGGAACUUAGAGACAGGUGCUGCAUGGCUGUCGUCAGCUCGUGUUGUGAAAUGUUGGGUUAAGUCCCGCAACGAGCGCAACCCUUAUCCUUUGUUGCCAGCGAUUUGGUCGGGAACUCAAAGGAGACUGCCAGUGAUAAACUGGAGGAAGGUGGGGAUGACGUCAAGUCAUCAUGGCCCUUACGAGUAGGGCUACACACGUGCUACAAUGGCGUAUACAGAGGGAAGCGAA